GCAUAUCAAUAAGCGGAGGAAAAGAAACUAACUAGGAUUCCCUUAGUUAACGGCGAGUGAACCGGGAUGAGCUCAAAUUUAAAAUCUGGCGUCUUUCAGGCGUCCGAGUUGUAAUCUAUAGAGGCGUUUUCCGCGCCGGACCGCGUCCAAGUCUCUUGGAAUAGAGUAUCAAAGAGGGUGACAAUCCCGUACUUGACGCGACAACCGGUGCUCUGUGAUACGUUCUCAAUGAGUCGAGUUGUUUGGGAAUGCAGCUCUAAAUGGGUGGUAAAUUCCAUCUAAGGCUAAAUAUUGGCGAGAGACCGAUAGCGAACAAGUACCGUGAGGGAAAGAUGAAAAGCACUUUGGAAAGAGAGUUAAACAGCACGUGAAAUUGUUAAAAGGGAAACGAUUGAAGUCAGUCGUGUGAAAGGUAUUCAGCCGUCUCUGGCGGUGUAUUUGCCUUUCGCGGGUCAACAUCAGUUUGAUCCGGUAGAAAAAGGCGGGAGGAAGGUGGCACCCUCGGGUGUGUUAUAGCCUCCUGUCAUAUGUGCCGGACCCGACUGAGGAACGCAGCUUGCCGCAAGGCCGGGGUUCGCCCACGUACAAGCUUAGGAUGUUGACAUAAUGGCUUUAAACGACCCGUCUUGAAACACGGACC
RNAcentral lists this ribosomal RNA (640 nucleotides) under uncultured fungus. RNAcentral's name for it is "eukaryotic LSU rRNA". It matches the Rfam family "Eukaryotic large subunit ribosomal RNA", at positions 38 to 667 of the family's 3401-position model. The record is from RNAcentral. Lineage: Eukaryota; Fungi.